UACGGAGGGUGCAAGCGUUAUCCGGAUUCACUGGGUUUAAAGGGUGCGUAGGUGGGCUGAUAAGUCAGUGGUGAAAUCUUGGGGCUUAACCCCGAAACUGCCAUUGAUACUGUUGGUCUUGAAUAUCCUGGAGGUAAGCGGAAUAUGUCAUGUAGCGGUGAAAUGCUUAGAUAUGACAUAGAACAUCUAUUGCGAAGGCAGCUUACUACGAGAUUAUUGACACUGAGGCACGAAAGCGUGGGGAUCAAACAGG
RNAcentral lists this ribosomal RNA (253 nucleotides) under uncultured bacterium. Its description in RNAcentral is "partial 16S ribosomal RNA". It matches the Rfam family "Bacterial small subunit ribosomal RNA", at positions 524 to 776 of the family's 1533-position model. The record is from RNAcentral.